UAAUACAGAGGGUGCGAGCGUUAAUCGGAAUUACUGGGCGUAAAGGGUGCGUAGGUGGUUGUAUGUGCGUUAUGUGAAAGCCCCGGGCUUAACCUGGGAAGUGCAUAGCAGACUAUAUAACUGGAGUACAGGAGAGGGUAGCGGAAUUUCCGGUGUAGCGGUGAAAUGCGUAGAUAUCGGAAGGAACGUCAAUGGCGAAGGCAGCUACCUGGACUGAUACUGACACUGAGGCACGAAAGCGUGGGGAGCGAACAGGAUUAGAUACCCUGGUAGUCCACGCUGUAAACGAUGAGGACUAGAUGUGGGUUGGGGAACCAAUCUGUAUCGAAGCUAACGCGAUAAGUCUUCCGCCUGGGAAGUACGGCCGCAAGGUUG
Molecule: ribosomal RNA, 375 nt
Filed under: uncultured bacterium
Lineage: Bacteria
Description: bacterial SSU rRNA
Rfam family: Bacterial small subunit ribosomal RNA
Source: RNAcentral